GUUGUAGUCUGGAGAAGUGCUUUCCGCGCUGGACCGUGUAUAAGUCUCUUGGAACAGAGCCUCAUAGAGGGUGAGAAUCCCGUCUUUGACACGGACUACCAGUGCUUUGUGAUGCGCUCUCAAAGAGUCGAGUUGUUUGGGAAUGCAGCUCAAAAUGGGUGGUAAAUUCCAUCUAAAGCUAAAUAUUGGCGAGAGACCGAUAGCGAACAAGUACCGUGAGGGAAAGAUGAAAAGCACUUUGGAAAGAGAGUUAAACAGUACGUGAAAUUGCUGAAAGGGAAACACUUGAAGUCAGUCGCGUUGGCCGGAACUCAGCCUUGCUUUCGCUUGGUGCACUUUCCGGUUGACGGGCCAGCAUCGAUUUCGGCCGGCGGAAAAGGGUUGGAGAAAUGUGGCACCCUCGGGUGUGUUAUAGUCUCUAGUCGCAUACGUCGGUUGGGAUCGAGGAUCGCAGCGCGCCGCAAGGCAGGGGUUCGCCCACUUUCGCGCUUAGGAUGCUGGCAUAAUGGCUUUAAAUGACCCGUCUUGAAACACGGACCAAGGAGUCUAACAUGCCUGCGAGUGUUUGGGUGGAAAACCCGAGCGCGUAAUGAAAGUGAAAGUUGAGACCUCUGUCGUGGAGGGCAUCGACGCCCGGACCUGACGUUCUCUGACGGAUCCGCGGUAGAGCAUGUAUGUUGGGACCCGAAAGAUGGUGAACUAUGCCUGAAUAGGGUGAAGCCAGAGGAAACUCUGGUG
This 738-nucleotide ribosomal RNA is filed under the name Daedalea confragosa. Its description in RNAcentral is "partial 28S rRNA". It matches the Rfam family "Eukaryotic large subunit ribosomal RNA", at positions 142 to 869 of the family's 3401-position model. The record is from RNAcentral. Lineage: Eukaryota; Fungi; Basidiomycota; Agaricomycetes; Polyporales; Fomitopsidaceae.